CGCACAUUGCGCCCUUUGGUAUUCCGAGGGGCACGCCUGUUCGAGCGUCAUUUAAACCAUCAAGCCCAGCUUGGUCUUGGACGCGGUCGAGUGACCCGUCCGUAACCUGUUGGCGGUGCAGUCCGGCUUCGAGCGUAGCAAAACCCUCGCUCCAGGAGUCCGUACGGCGCCCGCCAGGGAAUGGCCACCUUUUAAAGUUUGACCUCGGAUCAGGUGGGGAUACCCGCUGAACUUAA
RNAcentral lists this unclassified non-coding RNA (236 nucleotides) under Teratosphaeria sp. RNAcentral's name for it is "partial contains 5.8S ribosomal RNA, internal transcribed spacer 2, and large subunit ribosomal RNA". The record is from RNAcentral. Lineage: Eukaryota; Fungi; Ascomycota; Dothideomycetes; Mycosphaerellales; Teratosphaeriaceae.